RNAcentral lists this transfer RNA (69 nucleotides) under Marmota marmota marmota (Alpine marmot). It matches the Rfam family "tRNA". From Rfam's summary of the family: Transfer RNA (tRNA) molecules are approximately 80 nucleotides in length. Their secondary structure includes four short double-helical elements and three loops (D, anti-codon, and T loops). Further hydrogen bonds mediate the characteristic L-shaped molecular structure. tRNAs have two regions of fundamental functional importance: the anti-codon, which is responsible for specific mRNA codon recognition, and the 3' end, to which the tRNAs corresponding amino acid is attached (by aminoacyl-tRNA synthetases). tRNAs cope with the degeneracy of the genetic code in two manners: having more than one tRNA (with a specific anti-codon) for a particular amino acid; and 'wobble' base-pairing, i.e. permitting non-standard base-pairing at the 3rd anti-codon position. Lineage: Eukaryota; Metazoa; Chordata; Mammalia; Rodentia; Sciuridae. RNAcentral also lists the same sequence under 1 other name. The record is from Rfam by way of RNAcentral.
GGGGUUGUGGCUCAGUGGUAGAGCACUUGCCUAGCACAUGUGAGGCCCUGGGUUCGAUUCUCAGCACCA